RNAcentral lists this ribosomal RNA (242 nucleotides) under uncultured bacterium. Its description in RNAcentral is "partial 16S ribosomal RNA". It matches the Rfam family "Bacterial small subunit ribosomal RNA", at positions 9 to 233 of the family's 1533-position model. The record is from RNAcentral.
GAGUUUGAUCUUGGCUCAGGAUGAACGCUGGCGGCGUGCCUAACACAUGCAAGUCGAGCGAAGCGAUCGCUAUGAAGUUUUCGGAUGGAUUAGCGAUCGACUGAGCGGCGGACGGGUGAGUAACGCGUGGGUAACCUGCCUCAUACAGGGGGAUAACAGUUAGAAAUGACUGCUAAUACCGCAUAAGCGCACAGGACCGCAUGGUCCGGUGUGAAAAACUCCGGUGGUAUGAGAUGGACCCG